RNAcentral lists this transfer RNA (90 nucleotides) under Chloroflexi bacterium RBG_13_46_9. RNAcentral's name for it is "tRNA-Ser". It matches the Rfam family "tRNA". Rfam says of the family: Transfer RNA (tRNA) molecules are approximately 80 nucleotides in length. Their secondary structure includes four short double-helical elements and three loops (D, anti-codon, and T loops). Further hydrogen bonds mediate the characteristic L-shaped molecular structure. tRNAs have two regions of fundamental functional importance: the anti-codon, which is responsible for specific mRNA codon recognition, and the 3' end, to which the tRNAs corresponding amino acid is attached (by aminoacyl-tRNA synthetases). tRNAs cope with the degeneracy of the genetic code in two manners: having more than one tRNA (with a specific anti-codon) for a particular amino acid; and 'wobble' base-pairing, i.e. permitting non-standard base-pairing at the 3rd anti-codon position. The record is from RNAcentral. RNAcentral also lists the same sequence under 2 other names. Lineage: Bacteria; Bacillati; Chloroflexota.
GGAGAGGUGCUGGAGUGGACUAACAGGAGCGUCUGGAAAGCGCUUGUAGCCGCAAGGUUACCGUGGGUUCGAAUCCCACCCUCUCCGCCA